UAUUGGUCAAUGGAGGCAACUCUGAACCAGCCAUGCCGCGUGCAGGAUGACGGUCCUAUGGAUUGUAAACUGCUUUUGUACGGAACGAAAAGGUCUUUUCUAAUAAAGAAGGCUGAUGACGGUACCGUAAGAAUAAGCACCGGCUAACUACGUGCCAGCAGCCGCGGUAAUACGUAGGGUGCGAGCGUUAAUCGGAAUUACUGGGCGUAAAGCGUGCGCAGGCGGUUAUGCAAGACAGAUGUGAAAUCCCCGGGCUCAACCUGGGAACUACAUUAGUGACUGCAUAGCUAGAGUGCGGCAGAGGGGGAUGGAAUUCCGCGUGUAGCAGUGAAAUGCGUAGAUAUGCGGAGGAACACCGAUGGCGAAGGCAAUCCCCUGGGCCUGCACUGACGCUCAUGCACGAAAGCGUGGGGAGCAAACAGG
Molecule: ribosomal RNA, 423 nt
Filed under: uncultured bacterium
Lineage: Bacteria
Description: bacterial SSU rRNA
Rfam family: Bacterial small subunit ribosomal RNA
Source: RNAcentral